GAUGAACGCUGGCGGCGUGCCUAACACAUGCAAGUCGAGCGAUUCUCUUCGGAGAAGAGCGGCGGACGGGUGAGUAACGCGUGGGUAACCUGCCUGUACACACGGAUAACAUACCGAAAGGUAUGCUAAUACGAGAUAAUAUACUUUUAUCGCAUGGUAGAAGUAUCAAAGCUCCGGCGGUACAGGAGGGACCCGCGUCUGAUUAGCUAGUUGGUAAGGUAACGGCUUACCAAGGCGACGAUCAGUAGCCGACCUGAGAGGGUGAUCGGCCACAUUGGAACUGAGACACGGUCCAAACUCCUACGGGAGGCAGCAGUGGGGAAUAUUGCACAAUGGGCGAAAGCCUGAUGCAGCAACGCCGCGUGAGCGAUGAAGGCCUUCGGGUCGUAAGACUCUGUCCUCA
RNAcentral lists this ribosomal RNA (403 nucleotides) under uncultured bacterium. RNAcentral's name for it is "bacterial SSU rRNA". It matches the Rfam family "Bacterial small subunit ribosomal RNA", at positions 28 to 441 of the family's 1533-position model. The record is from RNAcentral.